This 255-nucleotide ribosomal RNA is filed under the name Triticum aestivum (bread wheat). RNAcentral describes it as "partial small subunit ribosomal RNA". Lineage: Eukaryota; Viridiplantae; Streptophyta; Magnoliopsida; Poales; Poaceae. The record is from RNAcentral.
AUGGAUUUAAGUCCAUCAUUGAUCUGCUGGAAUGUACGGGGAUUGAAUAACCCGGCUAAGAGGAAGGUGGCGAAGGAGUUUUUGGCGAUGGCGAAGAUGAGUUUAGUUUGUUUGCAGGAGACAACACUUGAUGUAAUUGAUCCUUUCAUCUUAAUGCAAUGCCUUGGUCAGGCUUUCAAUGGUUACUAUUAUUUGCCGGCUGUGGAGACGAGGGGGGAGUCCUCCUUGCCUGGGACUCCACCAUUGUUGAUGUGA